ACACCAAGCAUGGAGAACGAGAAGCAUGUAUGUUCUUGUGUCACUAUUUAGGUAUGUUGAUAAUGUACAUUGACAAAAUCUGACCUGGUGUUUGGAUUCCAACAGGUGCGACCACUGUGGCAGGAGCCUGUAUGCUGCA
Molecule: long non-coding RNA, 139 nt
Organism: Haliotis rubra (blacklip abalone)
Lineage: Eukaryota; Metazoa; Mollusca; Gastropoda; Lepetellida; Haliotidae
Exons: 3
Source: RefSeq, a predicted model, not a curated record